UGUGUGUUAGUGGAAGCGUCUGGAAAGGCGCGCGAUACAGGGUGACAGCCCCGUACACAAAAAUGCACAUGCUGUGAGCUCGAUGAGUAGGGCGGGACACGUGGUAUCCUGUCUGAAUAUGGGGGGACCAUCCUCCAAGGCUAAAUACUCCUGACUGACCGAUAGUGAACCAGUACCGUGAGGGAAAGGCGAAAAGAACCCCGGCGAGGGGAGUGAAAAAGAACCUGAAACCGUGUACGUACAAGCAGUGGGAGCCUCUUUUAUGGGGUGACUGCGUACCUUUUGUAUAAUGGGUCAGCGACUUAUAUUCUGUAGCAAGGUUAACCGAAUAGGGGAGCCGAAGGGAAACCGAGUCUUAACUGGGCGUUAAGUUGCAGGGUAUAGACCCGAAACCCGGUGAUCUAGCCAUGGGCAGGUUGAAGGUUGGGUAACACUAACUGGAGGACCGAACCGACUAAUGUUGAAAAAUUAGCGGAUGACUUGUGGCUGGGGGUGAAAGGCCAAUCAAACCGGGAGAUAGCUGGUUCUCCCCGAAAGCUAUUUAGGUAGCGCCUCGUGAAUUCAUCUCCGGGGGUAGAGCACUGUUUCGGCAAGGGGGUCAUCCCGACUUACCAACCCGAUGCAAACUGCGAAUACCGGAGAAUGUUAUCACGGGAGACACACGGCGGGUGCUAACGUCCGUCGUGAAGAGGGAAACAACCCAGACCGCCAGCUAAGGUCCCAAAGUCAUGGUUAAGUGGGAAACGAUGUGGGAAGGCCCAGACAGCCAGGAUGUUGGCUUAGAAGCAGCCAUCAUUUAAAGAAAGCGUAAUAGCUCACUGGUCGAGUCGGCCUGCGCGGAAGAUGUAACGGGGCUAAACCAUGCACCGAAGCUGCGGCAGCGACGCUUAUGCGUUGUUGGGUAGGGGAGCGUUCUGUAAGCCUGUGAAGGUGUGCUGUGAGGCAUGCUGGAGGUAUCAGAAGUGCGAAUGCUGACAUAAGUAACGAUAAAGCGGGUGAAAAGCCCGCUCGCCGGAAGACCAAGGGUUCCUGUCCAACGUUAAU
This 1044-nucleotide ribosomal RNA is filed under the name Escherichia coli. Its description in RNAcentral is "partial 23S ribosomal RNA". It matches the Rfam family "Bacterial large subunit ribosomal RNA", at positions 323 to 1369 of the family's 2925-position model. Lineage: Bacteria; Pseudomonadati; Pseudomonadota; Gammaproteobacteria; Enterobacterales; Enterobacteriaceae. The record is from RNAcentral.